This is a long non-coding RNA of Stomoxys calcitrans (stable fly), 597 nucleotides long. RefSeq lists it as uncharacterized. The record is from RefSeq and is a predicted model, not a curated record. NCBI's taxonomy places the organism in Eukaryota, Metazoa, Arthropoda, Insecta, Diptera, Muscidae. The transcript has 2 exons.
CGGCUAACAGGAGCACCGCUCACAGAUGAAGUAGGAGUUGUGGCAUUGGAGCUGGGUGUUGGUGGAACGAACUGUUGCGAGGUUUCAGGAUCGAAUUGGUGGGACACUCUUAUCGCCUUUGCCUAUUAGACUACGAAGAACUUACCUUUUUGACACACUUAUGGUACUUUACCCAAAUGGGCAUCCAACGAAGAAGUUGGCCGCACACACAGAAACCGCAACCUCUCACACCGCACACCAAUGCAAAUAAAACAGCUGUGAGAACAUCCAACAAAACGCAGAUGACAAAGGUAAACAACAAAUAUUUUUAUUUUUCGCUUUUGUUAAUUCUACCGAUUAUUCGUUUCUUCUUUUCACACUUGUUCACAACACUACGCUUUGCUUCGGACUUGCUUUCGUUUCGGUUCUGUUCUUUCAGGAGAUGUUGUUGGCCUCGGCUGGCUACUUUUUUCAAAAUCGCUUUAUUAUGCAAAUGCUUAAAUAUUUGUUUGGAAUUUGUGAUCUGAUCAUAUAUUUACACCUGGAUGACGCGAUUCACACAUACACUCACACGCAUUAACCAGACGAAUAAAAUGUUAGGCCCUUCUUUGCUUUAAA